Molecule: long non-coding RNA, 6377 nt
Filed under: Homo sapiens (human)
Lineage: Eukaryota; Metazoa; Chordata; Mammalia; Primates; Hominidae
Description: non-protein coding lnc-SLITRK1-7:1
Source: RNAcentral
UUAAUACUGAUUAGGUGGUGAAUCACAUUUAUUAAGUUGUAUGUGAUCAACUAUCUUUGCAUUCACGGAAUAAAAUCCACUUGAUCCUGAUCAAUUAUCUUUUUGAUGUGCUGUUGGAGAGGAUUUGCUAGUAAUUUGUUGAGGAUUUUUGCAUCUGUGUUGUAUUAGUCCUUUUUCAUACUGCUAUAAAGAAAUAUCUAAAGGAAAGUUUCCAUCUCCCUCCCUCAACCCAUGGGGAUUACAGGUUCCUGUCUUGACACUUGGGGAUUACAGUUCAAGAUGAGAUUCGAGUGGGGACAGAGAGCCAACCAUAUCAUAUGUUCAUUUAUUGUUGUGUUCUUGCCUGAUUUUGAUAUCAGGGUGAUAGUGGUUUCAUAUGAGUUAGCGGGGAGUCCCAUCUCGAUUUUUUGAAAUAGUUUCGGUAAGAUUGAUACCAGCUCCUUGUUGUAUGUCUGGUAAAAUACAUCUGUGAAUUCAUCUUUCCUGGGCUUUUUUUGUUAAAAAAAUUUAUUACUUAUUCAAUUUCAUUAUGCAUUAUCAGUCUUUUUAGGAUGUCUAUUUCUUCCUGGUUAAGUCAUAGGAGGUUAUGUAAUUCCAGAAAUAUAUUCAUUUCCUCUAGUUUUCCUAGUUUGUGUGUAUGGGAGAGGUCAUGGCAGUCUCACAAUUUUUUUUUUCCUGAGGUAUCAGUUGUAAUAUCUCCUUUCUUAUCUCUGAUUGUUGUUAUUUGAAUCUUUUUCUGGUUAAUCUAGCUAUCAGUCAGUAAAUUUUAUUUACUCUUUCAGAAAAACAAAUUUUUGUUUUAUAGUUCCAUUAUAUCUUCUUCCAUUGUCUCAGGCACAUUUAGUUCUUCUCUAAGGGAUUUGGAUUAUUUGUUUUUCCAGUUCCUUGAGGUUCAACAUUAGAUGAUUAAUUUGAGAUUCCUGUGUCCUUUUGGUGUGGCCAUUUAAUGCUAUAAACUUACCUCUUAACACUGAGUUUGCUGCAUCCCUGAGGUUUUGGUGUGUUGUGACUCUAUUUUUAUUUAUUUUGAAAAAUAUAUUGAUUUCUGCCUCAAUUUUGUUGUUUUCUAAAAGGUCAUUCAGGAGCAAGUUGUUUAGAUUCCAUGUACUUACGCAGUAUUGUGAGUUCCUCUUAAUAUUUAUUUCUUUUUUUUUUUUUUUUUUUUUUUUUUUUUGAGACGGAGUCUCGCUCUGUCGCCCAGGCCAGACUGCGGACUGCAGUGGCGCAAUCUCGGCUCACUGCAAGCUCCGCUUCCCGGGUUCACGCCAUUCUCCUGCCUCAGCCUCCCGAGUAGCUGGGACUACAGGCGCCCGCCACCGCGCCCGGCUAAUUUUUUGUAUUUUUAGUAGAGACGGGGUUUCACCUUGUUAGCCAGGAUGGUCUCGAUCUCCUGACCUCAUGAUCCACCCGCCUCGGCCUCCCAAAGUGCUGGGAUUACAGGCGUGAGCCACCGCGCCUGGCCUUAAUAUUUAUUUCUAAUUUUAUUCCACUCUGGUCUGAGAAUAUACUUGACAUGCAUUUAAUUUUUUAAAUUUAUUGAAACUUGCUUUAUGGUCAAGUAUAUGGUUGAUUUCAGAGCAUGUUCCAUGUGAAGGUGAGAAGAAUGUAUAUUCUUCAGCUGUUGGAUAAAGCAUUUUGUCAUUGUUCAUUAUGUUCAUUUGGUUUAUAGUCCAGUGUAAGUCCAGAGUUUCCUUGAUGAUUUUCAGCCUUGAAGAUCUGUCUAGUGAUAUCACUGGGUGAUAAAGAGAAUUCUGUCUUUCUGCUCUUAUAAUUUUUUGUUCACAUCGACUUUGGAUAGUCCUAUGUAUAUAUGCCUUGGUGAAGUUUUUCUUGCAAAGUAUUUUCCAGGAGUUCACUGAGCUUCUUAUAUUUCAAUGUUCAAAUCUCUCCCAAACCCAGGAAUUUUUUUUGAAUUAUUUCCUCAGAUAGGGUUUCUAUACUUUUUAUUUAUUUUUUUGAAUUAUUUCCUCAGAUAGGGUUUCUAUACUUUUUAUUUAUUCUUCUCUUUCUGGAAUAGCUAUAACUCAUAGGUUUGCACAUUUUAUAUAAUCCCAUAUUUCUCAGAUAUUUCUUUUUUUUCUCUUUUUAAAAAUUUUUCUCUGACUGGGUUAAUUUGAAAGAUCUGUCUUCCGCUCUGAAAUUAUUUCUUCCAUUUGGUCUAGCCUAUUAUUAAAGCUUUCAGCCAUAUUUUGUAACUCCUUCAAUAAUUUGUUUUGUUUGUUUCCAGAAUUGUAUUUGUUUUGUUUUGUUUUGUUUUAUGGUGUCUAUCUCAUUCUUUCCUGUCCUGAAUGGCUUUCCUGAUUUCUUUGUGUAGAUUUUUAGUUUUCACUUAGAUCUCAUAGAGCUUCUUUAAAAUUAAUAUUUUAAAAUAUUUGUCUGAUAUUUUUAAAAUUUCAAUUUGGUUAGAAUUCAGUUUUUGGAGAGUUAAUGUUCCCUUUCUGGAGUGCUGUAUCACUGUUUUUUCAGAUUUUCUUUUUUUGUUUUUUGUUUUUAUGCCUUCUGAUUUGUUUCUCUGUUUUUUUUUUCUUCAUAUUUGGAUAAGCUACCUCUCCUUAUGUUUUAAUAUUGCUUUUGUUUGAAUAGUAUUUUCCCCCACACCCCAAUCCAAUCCUAAGGAAGUAUAACGUAUGAUGUUGUGUAGGGUCCAUUGACUUUGGUUCUGGGUAUUUUCCAAGGCAGUGUAGUAGCAAUGUGCUUGGAGUGUGAGCAGGCUGACUCCCUCCUGUGGGCCAGGAUGGUGGAAGUCUUAGGAAACUGCUCCCCCAGUGCUUUGUGCCUCUGCCAAAUUUCCUGUGUGUUGUGCUCUUUAACAUCCAGGCCAGUAGGUGGCACUUAUGGGUAAAAGCUGCUCCAGCCAAUGUGGAUGGAUUUAUACUGGAUCCUACUUUGCUAAGGCAAACUUUCCCUGCCUCAGGCUGAUCUCUGGAAUGCGCAAUGGACUGAGCUCCCUCCUUGCUCAGGCUUAGAGGAGGAGAGACCAAGAAGGGCAAAACCACACCAGCCAGGCCCACCUACAGUUUCCCCAAUGGCAAGCACAAGCACCAGUUCCACGGGGGUAUCCAGUGGGAGGCUGCCAAGUAUCCAGAGGUGUUUGUAGAGAUGGAGUUGUGUAACUUCCACUGCCUCAAGUACUGUGCAUGGAAAGUAGUGAUGUCUAAACUCCUAAUCUAGAAGACUGUGUGCUCCAAAUGUCUUGAGAUAUGUCUGGACAUUGAGCAGAGAGAGCACUGGUGCACCAAGAUUUUACACCUGAAGGGAGAGGUGGCUUAGAAUGUUGUCAGGAAAGUGGGUGUGCCAGAUAUGUGGAAAUAUGACUUGGAAAGGAGUGGAGAAGUCAUUGCUGCCAUAAGAUCAUUGCGGUAGACAGGAUGGGUGGAUCAACUCCUACUCCAGGGGGACAGGUGCACCUCAUGAUGGAUAAUAUGCCUGGGAAGAAGUAAACUGCUGGCACAACAAGAUCUCUGCAUAGGAAGGAAGGGGGGGGUGGCUCAAACUUCUAACCCACUGGAGUAGGUAUGCCAAAUGCCUGGACUUAUGUCUGGGUGUGGAGCAGAGGGAGUAUUACUAUACCAAGCUUUUUUGUGUGUGUGGGAAGGGGAUGACAGCUCAAGCUCCUAUUCUAGGGAGCAUGUGUACCAAAGGCCUGGAGAUAUGUCUGGGCAUAGAGCAGAGAGUGUGCUCCCUUACCAAGGUCUUUGCACAGAAGGAAGAGCAGCUCAGGCUUUCCAGGUGAGUGUGCUGAGAGAGUGUGCAGAGAGUGUGCUGCUACACCAAGGUCUUUGCAUAGCAAGAGGGGCAGCUCAGGCUCUCCAGGUGAGUGGGUGGCUGGAAGUAUUCCCUGGAGAGGAUUCAAAAAACUGCCACUGCAACAAGGUCUUUGCAGGAGAAAGGGGGGUAGCUUACGCUAAUCCAGGAAAGGAGGUAUUUUCAUUGUCCCCCAGCAAGGAGGUGAGUACCCAGUGAUGCAACAACAUCUUUGCAGGAAAGAGGGAGCAGCCCAGGCAGCUAAUCCAGGCAAGGGGGUGCAGCAAAUACCUAGAAAUAUGCCAGGCAUGGAGUGGAGGCUGCACUGCUUCACCACUUCAUGAAGAUCUCUGCACAAAACGGGUAGGGUGCCUUAGGUUGCUGACUUGGGCUAAUGUGUACUCCAGAUGUCUGGAGAUUUCCCUGAGCAUGGAGCAGAGAGGGCUCUGCUGCACCAUGAUCUGUGCCCAGAAAGGGUGGGUGGCUCAGGCUGCUGGUCCAGGCAAAUGUGUACUCUAAAUGCCAGAUGUUCUGCCUGGGGCUAGAGUAGAGAGGGCCUCAGGCCUCCCCUCAUGAUCUCAGGGGAGCGGGCAGAGGCACCCAGCAAUGACACAUGCAGAAAAGUUUCGGGAUACAAAACUCUCCCUGUCUUCAAGUCUUUCUGCUCAGGAGAAACCUCAGUUUCAACAACUCUCUUCCCACUCCAGUCUGUGAUGGGAGAUAGCCCAAGUCUAUUGUCUAGUGCUGGGAUGCUUUCCACACCUGCUACUCAAUUCUGGCUGUAGGGGCCCUUCCACCCCUUUAGAGCAAGCACUUCAAUCUCUGGCCUGAGAUUAUAAUACCUGUGUGCCUGUCCUGCUGUGUCACCAGACAUGACUGACUUUGCAAGAGCCUGGAUUAAAAAUGGAAUCCUCCUCUCUGUUGCAGGUCUUGGAAAAUGGCAGCAGAUUUUCCCCAUGUCUUUCCCUCUCAGCAUGUCCAACCUCUUCCCAGGUUAGCUCCAAGACUUGAGAGAAGCAAAAUGCUCUCCCUUGGCCUGGAUUAUACAUGUCACUUAGUGGAAAGUUGAGUCACAAUGGAAGACUCUCUGCCCUUCUCAUGUACAGGAGGUUCAGUCAUUUUUAUUAGUCAGAUGCCGUUAGAGAAGCUGCUUGCCCACCUCCUUCUCUGCAGGAUCAGAGGUGUCCUUCACUAUUGUGGUGAAUUUCCAUUUUCCUUCUUGAGUUAAAGCUCGCAGAAUUUAUCUUUAUGCAGUAUUUUGCUAUUUCCAAGUGCCUGACACAUGCUAAAAGCUUUUAAUCUGCCAUAUUGGAAAAGAAAAAGAAAAAGAAAAAACUAUAUUUGGUGUUUUUAUGAAGCAAAAUUGUAUUCAUAAUUACUUUUAAUUUUAUUAAUUCUGUUUUUUAAAAUUUCUUAUUUUACCUCAAAUCAUCCUUCUGACAUUUUCUUCUUCCUGAAGAAUGUCUUUAGCACUUGUUAUAGUAAUUUCUACACGUUUUCUAUUGUGUUUUAUUCCAGGUUGACAGAUUACUAAGGAUACAAUUGUAGGCUGAUGUGAUUUCUUUCACCCUUUUAAAAACAACUUUCCACUAUCUUUCUAAUUCCAUGGUUAACUUCUGUAGAGCCUCUGAUUAAACUCAUCAUCAUAUAGGCUAUCUGCUUUCUUUCUCAUUUAUUUUCAAUAUCUCUUCUUCUACCCCUUUGGCAUCCGUUAUGGUGACGUACAUACACACACACACACACACACACACACACACACACACACACACACACAGAGACACACACACAUAUAUAUAUGUACUGUUUUGCUUGAGAGAAAUUUUGCUUCCUGAAUAUAAGGGAGCCUGACUAAUGAACAUUCUUAUAAUGUUCUGUCAUUAUCUCUUUCAACAUUGACUCUCAGGUUAGCUGUAUUAUAUGUCCUCAAUCCAGUUUUGAUGUCUUGCACUGGCCUUUAAAUUUCUAUGUCUUUCUCUUAUUGGAGUAUACUUCAGAUGAUUAUAUUAUGUGUGACUUAAAGUUUACUAGUUUAUUUGCCAUUAGUGUCUAAUCUGAUAUUUAACUGAACUAGUAGACAUUCAAUCCUUAUUAUAUUUUUUACAUUUGAAGUUCCACUGGUUUUGAUUUAAAGCUCUCAGAUAAAAUUUUAUGUACUUUCUUUUUCUGAACAUUAAGAAAUAUAGAUUUUGUAGCUUAUGUUGUGUUCUUCAAGUAUCAAAUGCUUUGGACGUAGGAUGGUUGAUUUUCAUUUUGUUGUUUUUGCUGAUUAUGUCUCUUGGUGUCUCUCUUUCUCACAAUUUUCUUGUAUUUCCAGUUUUGGAUUUGGGCUUGUGUUUAACUGAACUGAAUCUAUGAAAAUAUUGGAGGGCCUGGAUUGCAGCACUGUUUCACUUGAGGAUAAUUAAAUGUUAUAUGAUGCCACCCAGGAUUAUAGACUUUAGUAUGAAUGCUCUUAGGGUUUCCCAGAUAAUUCCCAUUUUAACUCCAACUCCAAUGAUGUCAGAACUAUAGUUAACACUAAAUUGUUAAAUCCAAGAUUAACAAGUUAAUCUGUAUCAUUAUGCCAUUCCUGAUCUACCAUUUUUUUGAUAUUGUAACCUGUCCUAAUAUCCAGCUUUGUAAUUGAGUGUCAA